RNAcentral lists this ribosomal RNA (406 nucleotides) under uncultured bacterium. RNAcentral describes it as "partial 16S ribosomal RNA". It matches the Rfam family "Bacterial small subunit ribosomal RNA", at positions 30 to 526 of the family's 1533-position model. The record is from RNAcentral.
AUUGAACGCUGGCGGCAGGCCUAACACAUGCAAGUCGAACGAGUGGCGGACGGGUGAGUCAUGUCUGGGAAACUGCCUGAUGGAGGGGGAUAACUACUGGAAAAGGUAGCUAAUACCACAUACCAUCGGAUGUGCACAGAUGGGAUUAGCUAGGAGGUGGGGUAAAGGCUCACCUAGGCGACGAACCCUAGCUGGGCUGAGAGGAUGACCAGCCUCAUUGGAACUGAGACACGGUCCAGACUCCUACGGUAGGCACCAGUGGGGCAGAUUGCACAAGGGGCGCAAGCCUGAUGCAGCCAUGCCGAGUGUAUGAAGAAGUCCUUCGGGUUGUAAAGUACUUUCAGCGGGGAGGCGUUACCCGCAGAAGAAGCACCGGCUAACUCCGUGCCAGCAGCCGCGGUAAUUC